Molecule: long non-coding RNA, 1588 nt
Organism: Rosa rugosa (rugosa rose)
Lineage: Eukaryota; Viridiplantae; Streptophyta; Magnoliopsida; Rosales; Rosaceae
Exons: 4
Source: RefSeq, a predicted model, not a curated record
UUCCAGAUUUGCUUCUCCCGCCGACCUAAUUUCCCGACGUCACUACCGCUUCGUCCGACCACCUAUGACCAUAAAAUUAGUACCUAUCUCUUCGUCUUGAAACAAGCUUUCCAUCAAUAUAUGCCUUGCAUCCUAUCAUGCACUAUAGACGACGAAUAGAAGGCAAGAGUUUACUGUAGCAAUUGGGUUUUUCGGCUAUUUUUUCAAAUUCCGGCCAAAUCGGAUGUUGAGGCUAACUGGGCUUUGUUCCUCUUGCCAUUUUCUACCAACCUACCAAGUUUCAUCAUCAAAUUGGAGCCGUGGAAGGAGAAUCGGAGAUUUGAGCAAAAUUGAGGGUUUUUCGGUUUUCAGGACGUGAGGAGGAACCACACCGGGAGAAACUUCGAAUAAAGGGCAAGCUUAGCCGUAUACUUUUGCAGGCGAGAUUAGUAGAGGUCGAACGUACAUGGAGUCGAGGCAUAGUUGUCACUGCUUCCAAUUGUUAGGGUUGUCCAUUUUAGGGAAAGUUUUGCCGAAUUUUCUCGAAAAAUGGGCCCCGCAGGGUCACCUUGGAUUUCAGGGUGAAAUCUCGGGUCGGGUCUUGUCAUCCUCCUUCGUCCUCGUCAAGCCCGAUUUAGGCCACUCCGUCCUCCGUCAAGCCCGAUUCAGGCCACCGCACUUCUCAGAGAAGUGAGCUCAGCAAAACCAAAGUUUCAUCUCAAAACUCACACACUCUCUCAUUGCCCAUCAACCACAGGCCACCACACACUCAAAUCCCUGUGAGAUCUUCUAGAUCCAAAAGGGUCUAUGUUUCUUUCAUAUCCAGAUCCUAAACCCUAUCCCACAAGAUCUCCAAGCCCAUAACUCGAAAACCCAAUUUCGACCGGCCUCCUCCUCUGCCUUUUGCUCCGAUUAUCCCCAAAACGCAUCGGUUCAGCUCCAAUCCUCUACUACACUGCCUCAACAGUAGCCGCCAUUGCAGCACCAGCCUCCGGUCUACAACGUCGUCCAGAAGCUGACCUGUUCACCGACCAACACGCAAGACCGGUUCGCUACUCUUUUGCCGAUUCACCAACCUAAAACUCAAAGCUCGAGGUUCUAGCGCAUCCGCCCUCCGCCGCUGGCACAGCUCACCCCUCGGCCGCCUCCUCUUCUGCCCAAGACUCCUCAUCAUCUCGAACCGCAUCCCCUACACUCAGCUCCUCGAAUUGAACCGGGAAUCGAAGCUCAAGCAUGUAAAUAAGCCUCCAGUAAUCGAAUUGUUGUAGAAGGCCAAAAUGGUCUUGGUGGUUCUCGACGAUUCCAGAGUGCUACGUUGUUGGAGGUGCCUCUGCCGUACUUGAGUUUUCUGGCGAGAAUGCCGGCAGUGGUGGCGUGGUUUUUGAGGACGAGGAAGCCGGCGAAGAAGGAGGAGUUGGAGAGAAUGAGGAAUGAGAGAGAGAUGAUUUGGUUUUAGGCUGUGGACAAGUGAAGCAGAAGAGAGAUGGAAAACAAGGGGCAAUUUCGACAAUUACCACAAUCUGAGGGGACAAAGCUGAAAAGUGGGCCAUAGUGUCGAGGCCAACUCAGCGCAUGACGUUACAUUUAGAGCCAAGUUUGAAUUUUGGAC